Molecule: long non-coding RNA, 1065 nt
Organism: Ruditapes philippinarum (Manila clam)
Lineage: Eukaryota; Metazoa; Mollusca; Bivalvia; Venerida; Veneridae
Exons: 3
Source: RefSeq, a predicted model, not a curated record
AAAGAUAAUAAAAAUGAUAUCGGCCACGUUUUUAUUUCAGACCAAUAAAAUACUUCGCCAGAAAUAUUUUAUGUAAUAAUUCAGAAGGAAAGAAACGUCUCUACAGAGCAGUCAAAACAAAAGUGUGUGGUACAAGUUUGACACUGGUACAAAGUAUUGUUUUAGACGUUUGCAGGCGUAAAAAUUAUAUGCUGGACCAAUGGGUGAAGGAAUUAUUCGAUAUUGACGGAAAUGACGUCAUUUCCCAUCACGAGAGGAAUCUUUUCACUUGAAGAACGUUGUCACGACCUAGCACGGUUUGAAUCGUACAGUUGAAGAAAAUCUUCGACACCAAGAAAUAAUGAGCGCAUUUGCAGAGGCUUAAACUCAAAAAGCUGAAUCUGUUAACUGUAUACAAUGGUUCUAAUUAUGACAAUUUGUCAAGAAAGUCAGAUCAAUCCCGGCCAUUCAGAACAGGUUAUGUGCAGUAAUGCUCAGAAUUGGUUGUCCGGGAGUUAUUUUUAGAGUAUUGAUAUUAUUACAGCACCAAAACAGUAUGUGUCAUACUACUUACAGUUAGGAUUAUCCGACAAAAAUUUGGCUUUGUCAUUAAUUUUGCAAUGAAGAAAUACAAUAUUAUCAAUAUAUCCUGCUUAAAGAAAUAAACAAACAUCUGAAGAAAAAGCUCAUCAAGUUCUUGGUAAACAUUCUUAAUUAUUAGAUGCUGAAGUCGUCUACUUUAAAUCUUAGGGGCGAUGAUGUAAUUUGCUUUCAGCAAUGUCGUAAAAUAACAGACUUCAUAACCGGGCUUACAACGUUUAUUUUUGCAAUGUCUGUAGACCUUCAUUAUAUUCUAUGUUAUUAUCAAGUACUGCACAUGACAUUUAUGAUAAGCGUUUUAAAACUACCUCAAAGCAUAUCAGUAUUAACCAAGAACCGAUGAAUUUCAUGUGUGUGUGUUUUUGUUUGUUUGUUUUUGCUUUGUUGUAUCUGUUUAAUAAACAAUUUAAGAAACAAUUGUUUGGAAAUUUAUUCUCUUAUUUAAGAAGAUCAAGUAAAUGUUGAAUCAAGUAUAUGUUUUGUCAC